This 2919-nucleotide ribosomal RNA is filed under the name Glaesserella parasuis. RNAcentral describes it as "23S ribosomal RNA". It matches the Rfam family "Bacterial large subunit ribosomal RNA". The record is from RNAcentral. Lineage: Bacteria; Pseudomonadati; Pseudomonadota; Gammaproteobacteria; Pasteurellales; Pasteurellaceae.
GGUUAAGUGACUAAGCGUACACGGUGGAUGCCUAGGCAAUCAGAGGCGAAGAAGGACGUGCUAAUCUGCGAAAAGCUUGGAUGAGUUGAUAAGAAGCGUUUAAUCCAAGAUAUCCGAAUGGGGAAACCCAGUAGAUGAAGAAUCUACUAUCAAUAGAUGAAUACAUAGUCUGUUGAGGCAAACCGGGAGAACUGAAACAUCUAAGUACCCCGAGGAAAAGAAAUCAACCGAGAUUUUGUCAGUAGCGGCGAGCGAAAGCGAAAGAGCCAGCAAGUGAUAGCAGCAAAGACAGAAGAAUUGGCUGGGAAGCCAAGCGACACAGGGUGAUAGCCCCGUAUUUUAAGUUUAUGUUGUGGUACUAAACUUGCAACAAGUAGGGCGGGACACGAGAAAUCCUGUUUGAAGAUGGGGGGACCAUCCUCCAAGGCUAAACACUCCUGAUUGACCGAUAGUGAACCAGUACUGUGAAGGAAAGGCGAAAAGAACCCCAGUGAGGGGAGUGAAAUAGAACCUGAAACCGUGUACGUACAAGCAGUGGGAGCCCUUUUGGGUGACUGCGUACCUUUUGUAUAAUGGGUCAGCGACUUAUAUUUUGUAGCGAGGUUAACUGAAUAAGGGAGCCGAAGGGAAACCGAGUCUUAACUGGGCGGUGAGUUGCAAGGUAUAGACCCGAAACCCGGUGAUCUAGCCAUGGGCAGGUUGAAGGUUGGGUAACACUAACUGGAGGACCGAACCGACUAAUGUUGAAAAAUUAGCGGAUGACUUGUGGCUGGGGGUGAAAGGCCAAUCAAACCGGGAGAUAGCUGGUUCUCCCCGAAAUCUAUUUAGGUAGAGCCUUAUGUGAAUACCUUCGGGGGUAGAGCACUGUUUCGGCUAGGGGUCCAUCCCGGAUUACCAACCCGAUGCAAACUGCGAAUACCGAAGAGUAAUGCAUAGGAGACACACAGUGGGUGCUAACGUCCAUCGUGGAGAGGGAAACAACCCAGACCGCCAGCUAAGGUCCCAAAGUCUAUAUUAAGUGGGAAACGAAGUGGGAAGGCUUAGACAGCUAGGAUGUUGGCUUAGAAGCAGCCACCAUUUAAAGAAAGCGUAAUAGCUCACUAGUCGAGUCGGCCUGCGCGGAAGAUGUAACGGGGCUAAAAUAUAGCACCGAAGCUGCGGCAUCAGGCGUAUCACCAGAGGAAUAUUUGUGAUACGCCUGUUGGGUAGGGGAGCGUUGUGUAAGCGGAUGAAGGUGAAUCGAGAGGUUUGCUGGACGUAUCACAAGUGCGAAUGCUGACAUAAGUAACGAUAAAACGAGUGAAAAACUCGUUCGCCGGAAGACCAAGGGUUCCUGUCCAACGUUAAUCGGGGCAGGGUGAGUCGGCCCCUAAGGCGAGGCUGAAAAGCGUAGUCGAUGGGAAACGGGUUAAUAUUCCCGUACUUGGUAAAGCUGCGAUGUGGGGACGGAGAAGGUUAGGUUAGCAGACUGUUGGAUGUCUGUUUAAGUUGGUAGGUGGGAAGUUUAGGCAAAUCCGGACUUCCAUAACACUGAGAGAUGAUGACGAGUUUCUACGGAAAUGAAGUAACUGAUACCACGCUUCCAGGAAAAGCCACUAAGCGAAAGGCUUUACUAAACCGUACUGAAAACCGACACAGGUGGUCAGGUAGAGAAUACUCAGGCGCUUGAGAGAACUCGGGUGAAGGAACUAGGCAAAAUAGCACCGUAACUUCGGGAGAAGGUGCGCUGGCGUAGGUUGUAAGAGUAUACCUCCGAAGGCUGAACCAGUCGAAGAUACCAGCUGGCUGCAACUGUUUAUUAAAAACACAGCACUCUGCAAACACGAAAGUGGACGUAUAGGGUGUGAUGCCUGCCCGGUGCUGGAAGGUUAAUUGAUGGUGUUAUCGAAAGAGAAGCUCCUGAUCGAAGCCCCAGUAAACGGCGGCCGUAACUAUAACGGUCCUAAGGUAGCGAAAUUCCUUGUCGGGUAAGUUCCGACCUGCACGAAUGGCAUAAUGAUGGCCAGGCUGUCUCCACCCGAGACUCAGUGAAAUUGAAAUCGCCGUGAAGAUGCGGUGUACCCGCGGCUAGACGGAAAGACCCCGUGAACCUUUACUAUAGCUUGACACUGAACAUUGAAUUUUGAUGUGUAGGAUAGGUGGGAGCCUAAGAAGCAGUCACGCCAGUGAUUGUGGAGGCGUCCUUGAAAUACCACCCUUUAACAUUUGAUGUUCUAACGAAGAUUGCGAAACGCGGUCUCGGACAGUGUCUGGUGGGUAGUUUGACUGGGGCGGUCUCCUCCCAAAGCGUAACGGAGGAGCACGAAGGUUUGCUAAUCACGGUCGGACAUCGUGAGGUUAGUGCAAUGGUAUAAGCAAGCUUAACUGCGAGACAGACAAGUCGAGCAGGUGCGAAAGCAGGUCAUAGUGAUCCGGUGGUUCUGAAUGGAAGGGCCAUCGCUCAACGGAUAAAAGGUACUCCGGGGAUAACAGGCUGAUACCGCCCAAGAGUUCAUAUCGACGGCGGUGUUUGGCACCUCGAUGUCGGCUCAUCACAUCCUGGGGCUGAAGUAGGUCCCAAGGGUAUGGCUGUUCGCCAUUUAAAGUGGUACGCGAGCUGGGUUUAGAACGUCGUGAGACAGUUCGGUCCCUAUCUGCCGUGGGCGUUGGAGAAUUGAGAGGGGCUGCUCCUAGUACGAGAGGACCGGAGUGGACGCAUCACUGGUGUACCAGUUGUCUCGCCAGAGGCAUUGCUGGGUAGCUAAAUGCGGAAGAGAUAAGUGCUGAAAGCAUCUAAGCACGAAACUCGCCUUAAGAUGAGUUCUCCCUAGCUAUAAGCUAGUAAGGGUUGUUGGAGACUACGACGUAGAUAGGUCUGGUGUGUAAGCGGUGUGAGCCGUUGAGCUAACAGAUACUAAUUGCCCGAGAGGCUUAACUAUA